RNAcentral lists this ribosomal RNA (359 nucleotides) under uncultured bacterium. RNAcentral's name for it is "partial 16S ribosomal RNA". It matches the Rfam family "Bacterial small subunit ribosomal RNA", at positions 338 to 696 of the family's 1533-position model. The record is from RNAcentral.
CCUACGGGUGGCAGCAGUGAGGAAUAUUGGUCAAUGGGCGAAAGCCUGAACCAGCCAAGUCGCGUGAGGGAGUACUGCCCUAUGGGUUGUAAACCUCUUUUGUCGGGGAGCAAAAGCCGGACGUGUCCGGCUGUGAGAGUACCCGUAGAAAAAGCAUCGGCUAACUCCGUGCCAGCCGCCGCGGUAAUACGGAGGAUGCGAGCGUUAUCCGGAUUUAUUGGGUUUAAAGGGUGCGCAGGCGGAUUUUUAAGUCCGCGUUAAAAUCUUGGGGCUCAACCCCAGCCCGCCGUUGAUACUGGCGAUCUAGAGUGAGCGAGAGGUAUGCGGAAUGCGUGGUGUAGCGGUGAAAUGCAUAGAUA